Molecule: non-coding RNA, 132 nt
Filed under: Haloechinothrix halophila YIM 93223
Lineage: Bacteria; Bacillati; Actinomycetota; Actinomycetes; Pseudonocardiales; Pseudonocardiaceae
Also listed under: 1 other name
Source: RNAcentral
UGAUCAGCGGCUUACGGUGGCUCGGCCACGUGCGAUGGAGGCCGGAAGCCGGUGAGAAUCCGGCACGGACGCGCCACUGUAUCCGGGCAGAGCCUGCCCGGAAGUCAGACCCGCCGCCAUCGCCACUACCCA